RNAcentral lists this ribosomal RNA (286 nucleotides) under uncultured bacterium. RNAcentral's name for it is "partial 16S ribosomal RNA". The record is from RNAcentral.
UUACCGCGGCUGCUGGCACGGAGUUAGCCGGUGCUUCUUCUGACGUUAACGUCAGGGCAAUCUAGUAUUAAUAGAUUACUUUUCCUCACGUCUGAAAGUGCUUUACAACCCUAAGGCCUUCUUCACACACGCGGCAUUUGCUGCAUCAGGCUUGCGCCCAUUGUGCAAUAUUCCCCACUGCUGCCUCCCGUAGGAAGCCGAAUUCCAGCACACUGGCGGCCGUUACUAGUGGAUCCGAGCUCGGUACCAAGCUUGGCGUAAUCAUGGUCAUAGCUGUUUCCUGUGA